GGAGGGGGCAAGCGUUAUUCGGAAUUAUUGGGCGUAAAGGGCAGGUAGGCGGCUUUAUAUGUCCCCUGUGAAAGCCCUCGGCUCAACCGAGGAAUUGCAUGGGAAACUGUAGAGCUUGAGUCCGGGAGAGGCUAGUGGAAUUCCCAGUGUAGCGGUGAAAUGCGUAGAUAUUGGGAGGAACACCGGUGGCGAAGGCGGCUGGCUGGACCGGUACUGACGCUGAACUGCGAAAGCUAGGGGAGCGAACGGGAUUAGAUACCCCGGUAGUCCUAGCUGUAAACGCUGAGCACUUGGUGUGGCGGGUAUCGACCCCUGCCGUGCCCGAAGCUAACGCAUUAAGUGCUCCGCCUGGGGAGUACGGUCGCAAGGCUG
This 372-nucleotide ribosomal RNA is filed under the name uncultured organism. RNAcentral describes it as "partial 16S ribosomal RNA". It matches the Rfam family "Bacterial small subunit ribosomal RNA", at positions 527 to 896 of the family's 1533-position model. The record is from RNAcentral.